UUCGCAAUGCCCGAAAGGGUGACUAUGCGACGCCGCGUGGACGAUGAAGGCCUUCGGGUUGUAAAGUCCUGUCAGGUGGGAUGAAUACCAAUGGUCUAAUACACCAAAGGUUUGACAGUACCACCAGAGGAAGCCACGGCUAACUCCGUGCCAGCAGCCGCGGUAAUACGGAGGUGGCAAGCGUUACUCGGAUUUACUGGGUGUAAAGGGUAUGUAGGCGGAUGCGCAAGUCAAAUGUGAAAUCCCUUAGCUCAACUAAGGAAUUGCGUUUGAAACUGUGUAUCUUGAGUGCGGAAGAGGAGAAUGGAAUUCCCGGUGUAAGGGUGAAAUCUGUAGAGAUCGGGAGGAACACCAGUGGCGAAAGCGGUUCUCUAGUUCGCAACUGACGCUGAAAUACGAAAGCUUGGGUAGCAAACAGGAUUAGAUACCCUGGUAGUCCAAGCCGUAAACGAUGGGCACUAAGUAGAGGGGUUUUA
RNAcentral lists this ribosomal RNA (476 nucleotides) under uncultured bacterium. RNAcentral describes it as "bacterial SSU rRNA". It matches the Rfam family "Bacterial small subunit ribosomal RNA", at positions 365 to 833 of the family's 1533-position model. The record is from RNAcentral.